UAGGGAAUCUUCGGCAAUGGGGGGAACCCUGACCGAGCAACGCCGCGUGAGUGAAGAAGGUUUUCGGAUCGUAAAGCUCUGUUGUUAAGGAAGAACGAGUGUGAGAAUGGAAAGUUCAUGCUGUGACGGUACUUAACCAGAAAGGGACGGCUAACUACGUGCCAGCAGCCGCGGUAAUACGUAGGUCCCGAGCGUUGUCCGGAUUUAUUGGGCGUAAAGCGAGCGCAGGCGGUUAGAAAAGUCUGAAGUGAAAGGCAGUGGCUCAACCAUUGUAGGCUUUGGAAACUGUUUAACUGGAGUGCAGAAGGGGAGAGUGGAAGUCCAUGUGUAGCGGUGAAAUGCGUAGAUAUAUGGAGGAAGAACGGUGGCGAAAGCGGCUCUCUGGUCUGUAACUGACGCUGAGGGUCGAAAGAGUGGGGAGCGAACAGG
RNAcentral lists this ribosomal RNA (429 nucleotides) under Verrucomicrobiota bacterium. Its description in RNAcentral is "Verrucomicrobia bacterium partial 16S ribosomal RNA". It matches the Rfam family "Bacterial small subunit ribosomal RNA", at positions 355 to 776 of the family's 1533-position model. The record is from RNAcentral. Lineage: Bacteria; Pseudomonadati; Verrucomicrobiota.